Carassius carassius (crucian carp) is the source of this 676-nucleotide long non-coding RNA. RefSeq lists it as uncharacterized. Lineage: Eukaryota; Metazoa; Chordata; Actinopteri; Cypriniformes; Cyprinidae. The record is from RefSeq and is a predicted model, not a curated record. The transcript has 3 exons.
CUGGAGCACGGGGAAUGGAGAUUGUACCCCCAAACGGUGAACCUCUUAUGGCAGAUUUUUGGAGAAGCAAGAGUGGACUUAUUCGCAUCGAGCAUGAAUACGCAUUGCCCGCUGUCGUUCUCCCUAUGCCCUCCAUCGCCCCUGGGCUUGGAUGCGUUUGCUCAUAAUUGGCCCAGAACCAGUUUUUAUUCUUUUCCCCCAAUUCGUUUAAAUCCAGCGGUAUUAUCCAGGAUACGGCUGGACAGAGUGGAACAGCUGAUGCUGGUGGCUCCGCAGCUUUACGUGGCAGCCAUUUCAGCUAACCACGUAUAUAUAGAUGGUGCCUCAGUGGACCGUCAUCCGCUGGUUUCUCGUUUUAUGCAGGGUGCGCGAUGGCUGAGGCCUUUCAAUCUAUGUCUUUGCCCUGUCAGAGCACUGAAGACUUAUAUUGAUCGAACAGCCCCAUGGCGUGAGUCUGACCAGCUGUUUGUCUAUUUUGGACAAAAGAAUAAAGGCCAUGCUGUCACAAAACAGCGCAUGUCCCAUUGGCUGGUGGAAGCAAUAUCUUUAGCCUAUGAGGUGCGUGGACUCGCUUCGCCCUUAGGAAUUAGAGCUCAUUCCACGAGAGCAGUUGCUUCUUCACAAGCUUUUCUCAGUGGAUCUUCUAUGGAUGAUAUCUGUGCUGCGGCAGGAUGGU